UACAGAGGUGGCAAGCGUUGUUCGGAAUUACUGGGCGUAAAGGGCGCGUAGGCGGUUCGUUAAGUCCUGUGCGAAAUCCCCCGGCUCAACUGGGGAACUGCACAGGAAACUAGCGGGCUUGAGUUCGGGAGAGGGAAGCGGAAUUCCGGGUGUAGCGGUGAAAUGCGUAGAUAUCUGGAGGAACACCGGUGGCGAAGGCGGCAUCCUGGACCGACACUGACGCUGAGGCGCGAAAGCUAGGGUAGCAAACGGG
RNAcentral lists this ribosomal RNA (253 nucleotides) under uncultured bacterium. RNAcentral's name for it is "partial 16S ribosomal RNA". It matches the Rfam family "Bacterial small subunit ribosomal RNA", at positions 524 to 776 of the family's 1533-position model. The record is from RNAcentral.